AGAGUUUGAUCCUGGCUCAGGAUGAACGCUGGCGGCGUGCUUAACACAUGCAAGUCGAACGAAGCGCCUGACUAUGAGACUUCGGUUGAAUAGGAGGGAUGACUUAGUGGCGGACGGGUGAGUAACGCGUGGGUAACCUGCCUCAUGCAGGGGGACAACAGUUGGAAACGGCUGGUAAAACCGCAUAAAACGGCAGUUUCGCAUGAAACAACCGUCAAAUAUUUAUAGGUAUGAGAUGGGCCCGCGUCUGAUUAGGCAGUUGGUGGGGUAAUGGCCUACCAAACCUACGAUCAGUAGCCGGCCUGAGAGGGUGAACGGCCACAUUGGGACUGAGACACGGCCCAAACUCCUACGGGAGGCAGCAGUGGGGAAUAUUGGACAAUGGGGGGAACCCUGAUCCAGCGACGCCGCGUGAGUGAAGAAGUAUUUCGGUAUGUAAAGCUCUAUCAGCAGGGAAGAUGAUGACGGUACCUGACUAAGAAGCACCGGCUAAAUACGUGCCAGCAGCCGCGGUAAUACGUAUGGUGCAAGCCGUUAUCCGGAUUUACUGGGUGUAAAGGGAGCGUAGGCGGCUAUGCAAGUCAGGUGUGAAAACCCGGGGCUCAACUCCUGGACUGCACUUGAAACUGCGAAGCUCGAGUACGGGAGAGACAAGUGGAAUUCCUAGUGUAGCGGUGAAAUGCGUAGAUAUUAGGAGGAACACCGGUGGCGAAGGCGGCCUGCUGGACUGUAACUGACACUGAGGCUCGAAAGCGUGGGGAGCAAACAGGAUUAGAUACCCUGGUAGUCCACGCCGUAAACGAUGAAUAAUAGGUGUCGGGGAGCAAAGCUCCUCGGGGCGGACGCUAACGCAUUAAGUAUUCCGCGUGGGGAGUACGUGGGCAAGAAUGAGACUCAAAGGAAUUGACGGGGACCCGCACAAGCGGUGGAGCAUGGGGUUUAAUUCGAAGCAACGCGAGGAACCUUACCAAAUCUUGACAUCCCUCUGACCGGACUUUAACAGGUCCUUCUCUUCGGAGCAGAGGUGACAGGUGGUGCAGGGUUGUCGUCAGCUCGUGUCGUGAGAUGUUGGGUUAAGUCCCGCAACGAGCGCAACCCUUGUCCUUAGUAGCCAGCAGUUCGGCUGGGCACUCUAGGGAGACUGCCGGGGAUAACCCGGAGGAAGGGGGGGAUGACGUCAAAUCAUCAUGCCCCUUAUGAUUUGGGCUACACACGUGCUACAAUGGCGUAAACAAAGAGAAGCGAUCCUGCGAGGGGGAGCAAAUCUCAAAAAUAACGUCUCAGUUCGGAAAGUAGUCUGCAACUCGACUACAUGAAGCUGGAAUCGCUAGUAAUCGCGAAUCAGAAUGU
RNAcentral lists this ribosomal RNA (1350 nucleotides) under uncultured bacterium. RNAcentral's name for it is "bacterial SSU rRNA". It matches the Rfam family "Bacterial small subunit ribosomal RNA", at positions 8 to 1357 of the family's 1533-position model. The record is from RNAcentral.